RNAcentral lists this transfer RNA (96 nucleotides) under Armillaria luteobubalina. It matches the Rfam family "tRNA". From Rfam's summary of the family: Transfer RNA (tRNA) molecules are approximately 80 nucleotides in length. Their secondary structure includes four short double-helical elements and three loops (D, anti-codon, and T loops). Further hydrogen bonds mediate the characteristic L-shaped molecular structure. tRNAs have two regions of fundamental functional importance: the anti-codon, which is responsible for specific mRNA codon recognition, and the 3' end, to which the tRNAs corresponding amino acid is attached (by aminoacyl-tRNA synthetases). tRNAs cope with the degeneracy of the genetic code in two manners: having more than one tRNA (with a specific anti-codon) for a particular amino acid; and 'wobble' base-pairing, i.e. permitting non-standard base-pairing at the 3rd anti-codon position. Lineage: Eukaryota; Fungi; Basidiomycota; Agaricomycetes; Agaricales; Physalacriaceae. The record is from Rfam by way of RNAcentral.
GGGCACAUGGUGUAGUUGGUUUAUCACGCCCGCUUAGCAAGCUCUUGGCGGUAGAUCGUAUGCGGGAGGUGUUGGGUUCAAUUCCCAAUGUGUCCA